GACGAACGCUGGCGGCGUGCUUAACACAUGCAAGUCGAACGGAAAGGCCCCUUUUUGGGGGUGCUCGAGUGGCGAACGGGUGAGUAACACGUGAGUAACCUACCCUUGACUUUGGGAUAACUUCAGGAAACUGGGGCUAAUACCGGAUAGGAGCUCCUGCUGCAUGGUGGGGGUUGGAAAGUUUCGGCGGUUGGGGAUGGACUCGCGGCUUAUCAGCUUGUUGGUGGGGUAGUGGCUCACCAAGGCUUUGACGGGUAGCCGGCCUGAGAGGGUGACCGGCCACAUUGGGACUGAGAUACGGCCCAGACUCCUACGGGAGGCAGCAGUGGGGAAUAUUGCACAAUGGGUGGAAGCCUGAUGCAGCAACGCCGCGUGCGGGAUGACGGCCUUCGGGUUGUAAACCGCUUUCGCCUGUGACGAAGC
This 423-nucleotide ribosomal RNA is filed under the name Cutibacterium acnes. RNAcentral describes it as "bacterial SSU rRNA". It matches the Rfam family "Bacterial small subunit ribosomal RNA", at positions 28 to 451 of the family's 1533-position model. The record is from RNAcentral. Lineage: Bacteria; Bacillati; Actinomycetota; Actinomycetes; Propionibacteriales; Propionibacteriaceae.